GAUGAACGCUGGCGGCGUGCUUAACACAUGCAAGUCGGACGGGAAGUGGUUUUUCUUGUGGCGGGCUGGUGUGUAACGCGUAUGAAUCUCCCGUUGGUAGGGUAACCACAGCUGUAAACUGCUUCCAAUACCCCGUAGCUAGUGCCGCAUAGGGGGUAAUGCGCCGGAGGGGGGGCUCGCGUCUGACUAGCUAGUUGGUGAGGCAAUAGCUUACCCAGCCGAUGAUUAGUAGCUGGUCCGAGAGGAUGAUCAGCCACAGUGGGACUGAGAGACGGACCAGACUACUAGGGGAAGCAGCAGUGAGGAAUGUUCCGCAAUGGGCGAAAGCAUGACGGAGCAAUGCGGCGUGGAGGUAGGAGGCCGAGGGGUCGUGAACUUCUGUUCCCGAAGAAGAAGCAAUGACGGUAUCUGGUGAAUAAGCAUCGGCUAACUCUGUG
This 437-nucleotide ribosomal RNA is filed under the name uncultured bacterium. Its description in RNAcentral is "partial 16S ribosomal RNA". It matches the Rfam family "Bacterial small subunit ribosomal RNA", at positions 28 to 507 of the family's 1533-position model. The record is from RNAcentral.